Molecule: ribosomal RNA, 570 nt
Filed under: Triticum aestivum (bread wheat)
Lineage: Eukaryota; Viridiplantae; Streptophyta; Magnoliopsida; Poales; Poaceae
Description: partial small subunit ribosomal RNA
Source: RNAcentral
AUGUGUGUUCCGAAGAAGAAGGGAGGUAUGGGAUUUAGAGACCUUCAUAGCUUUAACCUUGCUAUGUUAGCAAAGCAGUGUUGGCGACUGAUCCAGAAUCCUGACUCUUUGUGUGCACGUGUUCUAAGUGCAAAAUACUAUCCUGAUGGUAAUGUUCUGAGAGCUGGCCCAAAGAAAGGCUCCUCAUUUACAUGGCAAAGCUUGGUUGCUGUGAUACAAACUUUCAAGAGGGGAUGUAUUUGGCGAGUGGGCACUGGUUCACAGAUUAACAUUUGGGAUGAUCCAUGGCUCCCAUCAAGUCCAACAAGGAAGAUUAUCACCCCUAGAGGUGGAAUCAUGUUGUCAAAAGUGCAAGAGAUAAUUGACCCUCAUACGGGUCAGUGGGACGAGGCACUAAUUCAGAGCGUGUUCUCACCAGUUGAUGUAGGCAGAAUACUACAAAUUCCACUACAUAUUGAAGCACUAGAAGAUUUUGUGGCAUGGCACUAUACAAAGUCUGGAACCAUUACAAAAAAAGACACAUCCGUGACAUUUUGGGUCGAACGAAAGAAAUUUCUGUCAUACAUAUGA